UCGGAGGCCCCUUAGACAAUCGCGGAUGCCGAGCUUCGGGCUAGACAUAAAAUCUGCCAAGCUGCCAAUUUCCUGUUACCUACUCCAGAGACCCAGUGAUAUGAAGACACCCUAGCUGGACUGUCAGUUCUCGUUAAGAACCUAACCCCUCAAACUCUACAACCUCUGUGGACAGGAUCCUACCUGGUCAUCUAUAGUACCCCAACAGUGGUCAGUCUACAGAAUCCUCCCCACUGGAUUCAUCGCUCCAGGAUAAAACUAUGCCCAUCUGACGACCAGCCUAGCUCCUCCACCUCCUCCUGGAAGUCACAACAUAAAAAGACAGGAAUGUAAGGUCCUCUGAGCAGGCGGCGCCAUGGUCAAGCCAUCGUGACCCCUGUGACUCACACGUACACAUCCAGAAGGUCUCCUGGAGCCAGAAAGUCUGGGACGACAGGAAAACCACAAAAGAAGAAAAACGGCUAGUUCCUGUCUUAGCUGAUCAGCCAACCUUGUGACAUUCUAUCAUUGUAACAGGCUGUACCCUAACUGAUCAAUCAACCUCAUGACACUGUGCUCUGUAACCUUAUGAUAAUGUACCUUAUGACAUUCUUCCCCUGCCCUCAAUAAACAGCUCCGAACUAUAACUUUCCACUGCUUACCCCUAAAGUAUAAAACUAGCUCCAACCCCACCACUUCCUUUUCGGACUCAGCCCACCCGCACCCAGUGAAUAAACAACCUUGUUGCUCACACUUAGCCUGUUCAGGGUGUCUCUUCAAUUAGACGCACACAUAACAGACAGAUUAACAAGAAAAACACAUACAGAUUAAUUUAAUAUAAAUUUUUUUUUAUUAUACUUUAAGUUUUAGGGUACAUGUGCACAUUGUGCAGGUUAGUUACAUAUGUAUACAUGUGCCAUGCUGGUGCGCUGCACCCACUAACUCGUCAUCUAGCAUUAGGUAUAUCUCCCAAUGCUAUCCCUCCCCCCUCCCCCCACCCCACCACAGUCCACAGAGGGUGAUAUUCCCCUUCCUGUGUCCAUGUGAUCUCAUUGUUCAAUUCCCACCUAUGAGUGAGAAUAUGUGGUGUUUGGUUUUUUGUUCUUGCGAUAGUUUACUGAGAAUGAUGAUUUCCAAUUUCAUCCAUGUCCCUACAAAGGACAUGAACUCAUCAUUUUUGAUGGCUGCAUAGUAUUCCAUGGUGUAUAUGUGCCAUAUUUUCUUAAUCCAGUCUAUCAUUGUUGGACAUUUGGGUUGGUUCCAAGUCUUUGCUAUUGUGAACAGUGCCGCAAUAAACAUACGUGUGCAUGUGUCUUUA
RNAcentral lists this long non-coding RNA (1297 nucleotides) under Homo sapiens (human). RNAcentral's name for it is "endogenous retrovirus group H member 3". The record is from RNAcentral. Lineage: Eukaryota; Metazoa; Chordata; Mammalia; Primates; Hominidae.